AACAGAGGACAUUUAGGCUGGAUGAAGGCAGGCUCAGGGGGCUACCACGACGAUCAGGCAUCUGAAGCCCCUCUGUGGAGACCCAUCAGACUCGCUCUGUGUUGCCACGGGGCAGGGUUGGGGAUGAAAGGGGGCACCAGUAGCCAUCAGUAAUCACCCACAAAGGGCUCUCUUGCGGACACUUAUGCUGCAAGAGCCACUUCCUCCAUGGUCUUAUCACCUCACCCAGGCCCUGUGGAGCAGCCAGAAGGCGGGGAGAGCUUCUCCCUUGCAGGUCCCCUCCAUUGCUGUCAGUACCCAGCUGGCUCCAGGGCUCUGUGAUGCCGCCAGCUGGGCCUAUGAGGGCCCCGAACCCUGAGUCUUCACUGCCUUUCUCCCAACCCCAGGAAGGUACGCUCAGCCAGAGCCCAGGCCUCAUACACACUGGCAGUGACAAAAAGUAAAACUCCAGCCCCGUCCCCAUGUCUUUCCCCGGGCACCCCUGAGUGCCUUUACUCUAUGGCUGACCUUUGUACUUGUAAGCUAUCCAGAGGCUCUUUGGGCCUCUGCCAGAGUUUCCUAAAACAUACGUUUGCUCUUCUCAUUCUCCUGCCCAGAAGCUUCCAGAGUGCCCUCUUGGCUUCAGACUGAGUCCUCACCUGUGAACGGGCUCACCUUUCAUUUAGUGCAGACAUAGGCCCCCCUGGAGUUUGUCUCUCCCCUUCCCUUCCUUCACCUGGCCAGCUCUCACUCUUCCUUGAAGACCAACUCAGAUAUCACCACACUGGGUUUGGGACCCUCCUGUGUGCACACCUGGAUCCCAGCACUUCUCAUGCUGUUGUCAUUGAUCCUUGUCCACUGGUGAUGUCAACUCCCCAAGCGAACAUCAGAAAUACUUGCAACCAAGCAAAGCUAAGGUUAUCUGACCUGCCACAGUAAGGGAGAACCUCCACUUGGCAGAAUCUUAGUAGGUUCUGAAAAUGGAGGAAUUAGGGAAGGGUACUUAGAGGGUUUCAUGGUCCAGGCUUGGUGAUUUUAAGGUGGGUCUUGCAAGGCCGUUUUAGCUUUGGAUUGGUGAGCCCAGCAAGGGAACAGUCUUGAAGUGAGUCUGGAUGAGCAAGCUGUUAAUCUUGAUCCUGACAGCGAGCGGUGAUGGCACGUGUGCCCUGUGGGACGUGGAGAGCGGGCAGCUGCUGCAGAGCUUCCACGGACAUGGGGCUGACGUCCUCUGCUUGGACCUGGCCCCCUCAGAAACUGGAAACACCUUCGUGUCUGGGGGAUGUGACAAGAAAGCCAUGGUGUGGGACAUGCGCUCCGGCCAGUGCGUGCAGGCCUUUGAAACACAUGAAUCUGACAUCAACAGCGUCCGGUACUACCCCAGUGGAGAUGCCUUUGCUUCAGGGUCAGAUGAUGCUACGUGUCGCCUCUAUGACCUGCGGGCAGACAGGGAGGUUGCCAUCUAUUCCAAAGAAAGUAUCAUAUUUGGAGCAUCCAGCGUGGACUUCUCCCUCAGUGGUCGCCUGCUGUUUGCUGGAUACAAUGAUUACACUAUCAACGUCUGGGAUGUUCUCAAGGGGUCCCGGGUCUCCAUCCUGUUUGGACAUGAAAAUCGCGUUAGCACUCUGCGAGUUUCUCCCGAUGGGACUGCUUUCUGCUCUGGAUCAUGGGAUCAUACCCUCAGAGUCUGGGCCUAAUCAUCUUCUGACAAUGCACUCAUGUAUACCUGAGAAUUUGAAAUCUUCACAUGUAAAUAGAUAUUACUUCUAGAGGAGCUUAGAGUUUAUUGCAGUUUAGCUUAGGGGAGCAACCUAUGGCUCACAGGUCACUAAGCGUCUCCAACAUGACUAUUAAAACUGUCACCUCUGGAAAUACACUAGUGUGAGCCUUCAGCACUGCGAGAAUACCUUCAAGUACAGUAUUUUUCUUUUGGAACACUUUUUAAAAUGUAUCUGUUUUUAAGGUUAUUCUAAAUUAUAGUAGCCUCAACUCAUUCUGUCACCAGUAGAAUUCAGCAGUUAAUAUAUUCCAUAUUAUUUCUUUGAAUCAAUUCAUUUUCAGAGCACUUUAAAGUCUGAUAUUUCUUGAUGUGCACUGUGAUGCCUGGAACCUUCCUCUGGAAGUGCUGGUUUUAUGGAUUGAGGACUGGUAACUGGUCUGUGAUAGAAGCAAAUUCCAAUUCCAAAUGUAAUUAGACAAAAAGCACUUUUUGUGAAUGUGUUUUUAUUGUAAAUGUAUCUUUUUC
RNAcentral lists this small RNA (2221 nucleotides) under Pongo abelii (Sumatran orangutan). Its description in RNAcentral is "processed transcript". Lineage: Eukaryota; Metazoa; Chordata; Mammalia; Primates; Hominidae. The record is from RNAcentral.